RNAcentral lists this non-coding RNA (155 nucleotides) under Lepisosteus oculatus (spotted gar). RNAcentral's name for it is "Eukaryotic large subunit ribosomal RNA". It matches the Rfam family "Eukaryotic large subunit ribosomal RNA", at positions 2827 to 2984 of the family's 3401-position model. Lineage: Eukaryota; Metazoa; Chordata; Actinopteri; Semionotiformes; Lepisosteidae. The record is from Rfam by way of RNAcentral.
UAACUGGCUUGCAGCAGCUAAGCAUUCAUACAGUUACACUGUUUGAUUCUUUGAUGUUGGCUCUUUCUAUUGUUGUGAAGCAGAAUUUACAUCAUUGGAUUGUUCAUCCACUAAUAGGGAAUGUGAACUGAGAUUAGACCAUCAUGAGAAAGGUU